Molecule: non-coding RNA, 187 nt
Filed under: Clostridium cochlearium
Lineage: Bacteria; Bacillati; Bacillota; Clostridia; Eubacteriales; Clostridiaceae
Description: 6S RNA
Rfam family: 6S / SsrS RNA
About the family: E. coli 6S RNA was the first non coding RNA to be sequenced, but its function was unknown until recently. It consists of 184 nucleotides that fold into an extended hairpin structure with a large single-stranded internal bulge. The 6S RNA specifically associates with RNA polymerase holoenzyme containing the sigma70 specificity factor.
Source: RNAcentral
UAAGUCCUGCUAUGUACGGAAAAAUAGAUUUAUCCUGAUCCAACACAUUUACAAAGGGAAUCCAAACUCUCGUUGUGGAAUGAUGCUUAAACAUUGUUUUAAGAGACAAGAAGCAAUGAGGAGAUGCCCACUUAAGAAGGGAUAGGGUUCAAGGAGUUAAUCUAUAUAACGUCAUAGCGGGACUUUU